AGCGAACGCUGGCGGCAGGCUUAACACAUGCAAGUCGAGCGGCCGUAGCAAUACGGCAGCGGCAGACGGGAGAGUAACACGUAGGAACGUACCCUUCAGUACGGAACAACCAAGGGAAACUUUGGCUAAUACCGUAUACGUCCGUAAGGAGAAAGAUUUAUCGCUGAAGGAUCGGCCCGCGUCUGAUUAGCUAGUUGGUGAGGUAACGGCUCACCAAGGCGACGAUCAGUAGCUGGUCUGAGAGGAUGAUCAGCCGCACUGGGACUGAGACACGGCCCAGACUCCUACGGGAGGCAGCAGUGGGGAAUAUUGGACAAUGGGCGCAAGCCUGAUCCAGCCAUGCCGCGUGGAUGAUGAAGGCCCUAGGGUUGUAAAGUCCUUUUAACGGGGAAGAUAAUGACGGUACCCGUAGAAUAAGCCCCGGCUAACUUCGUGCCAGCAGCCGCCGUAA
Molecule: ribosomal RNA, 451 nt
Filed under: uncultured bacterium
Lineage: Bacteria
Description: partial 16S ribosomal RNA
Rfam family: Bacterial small subunit ribosomal RNA
Source: RNAcentral